RNAcentral lists this ribosomal RNA (254 nucleotides) under uncultured bacterium. RNAcentral describes it as "partial 16S ribosomal RNA". It matches the Rfam family "Bacterial small subunit ribosomal RNA", at positions 524 to 776 of the family's 1533-position model. The record is from RNAcentral.
UACGGGGGGGGCAAGCGUUGUUCGGAAUUACUGGGCGUAAAGGGCUCGUAGGCGGCCAACGUAAGUCGACGUGAAAUCCCUCGGCUUAACCGGGGAACUGCGUCUGAUACUGGAUGGCUUGAGGUUGGGAGAGGGAUGCGGAAUUCCAGGUGUAGCGGUGAAAUGCGCAGAUAUCAGGAAGAACACCCGUGGCGAAGGCGGCUCUCUGGGACGGUACUGACGCUGAGACGCGAAAGCGUGGGGGAGCGAACAGG